This 98-nucleotide signal recognition particle RNA is filed under the name Oscillospiraceae bacterium. RNAcentral's name for it is "signal recognition particle sRNA small type". It matches the Rfam family "Bacterial small signal recognition particle RNA". Rfam says of the family: The signal recognition particle (SRP) is a universally conserved ribonucleoprotein involved in the co-translational targeting of proteins to membranes. Archaeal SRP consists of a 7S RNA and homologues of the eukaryotic SRP19 and SRP54 proteins. Lineage: Bacteria; Bacillati; Bacillota; Clostridia; Eubacteriales; Oscillospiraceae. The record is from RNAcentral.
CAUCGGGCCCUGUGCGACAUGGCCCCGUGAACCAUGUCAGGCGGGGAACCGAGCAGCAUUAAGCGGCCAGCCAUGUGCGCGCAGCAAGCCUGGUGUCC